RNAcentral lists this ribosomal RNA (433 nucleotides) under uncultured bacterium. RNAcentral describes it as "partial 16S ribosomal RNA". It matches the Rfam family "Bacterial small subunit ribosomal RNA", at positions 585 to 1000 of the family's 1533-position model. The record is from RNAcentral.
AAGUCAGAUGUGAAAUCCCCCGGGGCUCAACCUGGGAAACUGCAUCUGAUACUGGGCAAAGCUUGAGUCUCGUAGAGGGGGGGUAGAAUUUCCAGGUGUAGCGGUGAAAUGCGUAGAGAUCUGGAGGAAAUACCGGUGGCGAAAGGCGGCCCCCCUGGACGAAGACUGACGCUCAGGUGCGAAAGCGUGGGGAGCAAACAGGAUUAGAUACCCUGGUAGUCCACGCCGUAAACGAUGUCGACUUGGAGGUUGUGCCCUUGAGGCGUGGCUUCCGGGAGCUAACGCGUUAAGUCGACCGCCUGGGGGGAGUACGGCCGCAAGGUUAAAACUCAAAUGAAUUGACCGGGGGCCCGGCACAAGCGGUGGAGCCAUGUGGAUUCAAUCCGAUGCAACGCGAAGAACCUAACCUGAUCUUGACAUCCACGGAAGGUUU